AUUGAACGCUGGCGGCAUGCUUUACACAUGCCAGUCGAACGGCAGCGCGGGCUUCGGCCUGGCGGCGAGUGGCGAACGGGUGAGUAAUGCAUCGGAACGUGCCCAGUAGUGGGGGAUAGCCCGGCGAAAGCCGGAUUAAUACCGCAUACGACCUGAGGGUGAUAGCGGGGGACCGAAAGGCCUCGCGCUAUUGGAGCGGCCGAUGUCGGAUUAGCUAGUUGGUGGGGUAAAGGCUUACCAAGGCGACGAUCCGUAGCUGGUCUGAGAGGACGACCAGCCACACUGGGACUGAGACACGGCCCAGACUCCUACGGGAGGCAGCAGUGGGGAAUUUUGGACAAUGGGGGCAACCCUGAUCCAGCCAUGCCGCGUGCGGGAAGAAGGCCUUCGGGUUGUAAACCGCUUUUGUUCGGGAAGAAAUCCUCUGGGCUAAUACCCCGGGGGGAUGACGGUACCGGAAGAAUAAGCACCGGCUAACUACGUG
Molecule: ribosomal RNA, 484 nt
Filed under: uncultured bacterium
Lineage: Bacteria
Description: partial 16S ribosomal RNA
Rfam family: Bacterial small subunit ribosomal RNA
Source: RNAcentral